RNAcentral lists this ribosomal RNA (244 nucleotides) under uncultured bacterium. RNAcentral describes it as "partial 16S ribosomal RNA". It matches the Rfam family "Bacterial small subunit ribosomal RNA", at positions 527 to 770 of the family's 1533-position model. The record is from RNAcentral.
GUAGGGGGCAAGCGUUAUCCGGAUUUACUGGGUGUAAAGGGAGCGUAGACGGCAGCGCAAGUCAGAUGUGAAAACCCGGGGCCCAACCCCGGGACUGCAUUUGAAACUGCCAUGCUGGAGUGCCGGAGAGGUAAGUGGAAUUCCUAGUGUAGCGGUGAAAUGCGUAGAUAUUAGGAGGAACACCAGUGGCGGAGGCGGCUUACUGGACGGUAACUGACGCUGAGGCUCGAAAGCGUGGGGAGCA